RNAcentral lists this ribosomal RNA (465 nucleotides) under uncultured bacterium. Its description in RNAcentral is "partial 16S ribosomal RNA". It matches the Rfam family "Bacterial small subunit ribosomal RNA", at positions 28 to 507 of the family's 1533-position model. The record is from RNAcentral.
GACGAACGCUGGCGGCGUGCUUAACACAUGCAAGUCGAACGGAAAGGCCCUGCUUGCAGGGUACCCGUGUGGCGAACGGGUGAGUAACACGUGGGUGAUCUGCCCUGCACUUCGGCAUAAUCCUGGGUAAAUGGGUCUAAUACCGGGUAAGCGUCAUUAUUAGCGUGUUGGUUGGUAAGAUUUUUCGGUGUAGGAUGAGCUCGUGGCCCAUUAGCUUGUUGGUGGGGGAAUGGCUUACCAAGGCGGCGACGGGUAGCCGGCCUGAGAGGGUGGACGGCCACAGUGGGACUGGGACUCGGCCCAGACUCCUACGGGAGGCAGCAGUAGGGAAUAUUGCACAAGGGGCGCAAGCCGGAUGCAGCGACGCCGCGGGGGGGAUGACGGCCUUCGGGUUGGAAACGCCUUUCGCUAGGGACGAAGCUUAUUGUGACGGUACCUAGAUAAGAAGCACCGGCUAACUACGUG